AAAAGCUUGUAAGGGCAAAUGGUGGAUGCCUUGGGUGAUAGAGGCGAUGAAGGACGUACUAGACUGCGAUAAGCUACGGGGAGCUGUCAAGAAGCUUUGAUCCGUAGAUUUCCGAAUGGGGCAACCCAAUACCUAGAGAUAGGUAUUACCUUUAAUGGAGCGAACCUAGCGAAGUGAAACAUCUCAGUAGCUAGAGGAAAAGAAAUCAAACGAGAUUCUCCUAGUAGCGGCGAGCGAACGGGGAAGAGGGCAAACCAGUAGCUUGCUACUGGGGUUGAGGACUGCAAUAUCCACUGCAAUCUUUUAGCAGAAUAUUCUGGAAAGAAUAAUCAUAGAGGGUGAUAGUCCCGUAUGUGAAAAGAGAUUGCUAGGUAGCAGUAUCCAGAGUAGGUCAGGACACGUGAAAUCCGGGCUGAAGCAGGGGAGACCACUCUCCAACCCUAAAUACUACUAUCACACCGAUAGCGCACAAGUACCGUGAGGGAAAGGUGAAAAGAACCGCAGUGAGCGGAGUGAAAUAGAACCUGAAACCAUUUGCCUACAAUCAUUCAGAGCCCUAUUGUGAGUCCCUUUGAGGAAUUAGCUAGGCUUGUCUCUUGGGUGAUUUUAAAGGAGCGAGAACAUUGCUUCAUUGCGGCGUAUGUCUAUAUACGCCUCAUUUGCAAUGACCUCACAACCUUUAAACUCACCUCAAGAUACUUCGCCAUUUGCUUUGUUCUUUAUGAUUUCAUAAUUUUAAAGUUUUAAAAUAAAGUGUGGAAUCUUAAAAAAAGAACUCCAAAAAAUUCUAGUAUUAUGCGUAAGAUUUGCGGUAAGAUUUAUGAGUUUUGUAGAAAAAACUGCGGAGACUAGCCUUAUGGCUAUCGCACAAGAUUUUUUCAAACUCCCGCAAAGAUUGUGUAUAAGCUAAAUUUAGCCUGAUUUUUCAAAGGGAUUCACAAGGGUGAUGGACUGCCUUUUGCAUAAUGAUCCUGCGAGUUGUGGUAUCUGGCAAGGUUAAGCAAACGCGAAGCCGUAGCGAAAGCGAGUCUGAAAGGGCGUUUAGUCAGAUGCUGCAGACCCGAAGCCAAGUGAUCUAUCCAUGGCCAAGUUGAAGUAAGUGUAAUAGCUUAUGGAGGACUGAACUCGUACCCAUUGAAACGGGUUGGGAUGAGCUGUGGAUAGGGGUGAAAGGCCAAACAAACUUGGUGAUAGCUGGUUCUCUUCGAAAUAUAUUUAGGUAUAGCCUCAAGUGAUAGUAAUAGGGGGUAGAGCUCUGAUUGGGCUAGGGCUGCUCACCGCGGUACCAACCCCUGUCAAACUACGAAUACCUAUUACCGUAUCUUGGGAGUCAGGCGGUGGGUGAUAAAAUCAAUCGUCAAGAGGGAAACAACCCAGACUACCAACUAAGGUCCCAAAGUUCUAUUCUAAGUGGAAAAUGAUGUGAAGUUACUUAGACAACCAGGAGGUUGGCUUAGAAGCAGCCAUCCUUUAAAGAAAGCGUAACAGCUCACUGGUCUAGUGAUUUUGCGCAGAAAAUAUAACGGGGCUAAGAUAGACACCGAAGUUGUAGAUUGUGCUGAUGCACAGUGGUAGAAGAGCGUUCGUAUCAGCGUUGAAGGCAUACCGGUAAGGAGUGCUGGAGCGAUGCGAAGUGAGCAUGCAGGAAUGAGUAGCGAUAAAAGUGGUGAGAAUCCACUUCGCCGAAAAUCUAAGGUUUCCUACGCGAUGCUCGUCAUCGUAGGGUUAGUCGGGUCCUAAGAUAAGUCCGAAAGGGGUAGUCGAUGGAAAAUGGGUUAAUAUUCCCAUACCAACAUAAGUGUGCGAUGGGGGACGCAUAGGGCUAAAUGGCGUUAGCUGAUGGAAGUGCUAACUUAAGAGCGUAGAUUGGGGGAUUGGCAAAUCCGCCUCUGUAUUCGAAACUCAAAUAGCUUCAAGCGGUCUUCGGACCAAUUGGAGUGCCAUUGAUGCCGUCGUGCCAAGAAAAGCCUCUAAGUUUAGCUUAUGUUGCCCGUACCGCAAACCGACACAGGUAGAUGAGAUGAGUAUUCUAAGGCGCGUGAAAGAACUCUCUUUAAGGAACUCUGCAAACUAGCACCGUAAGUUCGCGAUAAGGUGUGCCACAGCAAUGUGGUCUCAGCAAAGAGUCCCUCCCGACUGUUUACCAAAAACACAGCACUUUGCAAACUCGUAAGAGGAAGUAUAAGGUGUGACGCCUGCCCGGUGCUCGAAGGUUAAGAGGAUUAGUUAGCAGCAAUGCGAAGCUUUGAAUUGAAGCCCGAGUAAACGGCGGCCGUAACUAUAACGGUCCUAAGGUAGCGAAAUUCCUUGUCGGUUAAAUACCGACCUGCAUGAAUGGCGUAACGAGAUGGGAGCUGUCUCAAAGAGUGAUUCAGUGAAAUUGUAGUGGAGGUGAAAAUUCCUCCUACCCGCGGCAAGACGGAAAGACCCCGUGGACCUUUACUACAGCUUGGCACUGCCGAUGGGAGCAUUAUGCGCAGGAUAGGUGGGAGGCUUUGAAAUCUUUACUCUGGUAGAGAUGGAGCCAUCCUUGAGAUACCACCCUUAAUGUUUCUGUCUGCUAACUAGCUUGAGUUAUCCUCAAGUAGGACAAUGCCUGGUGGGUAGUUUGACUGGGGCGGUCGCCUCCUAAAAAGUAACGGAGGCUUACAAAGGUUGGCUCAUUGCGGUUGGAAAUCGCAAGUAGAGUGUAAUGGCAUAAGCCAGCCUGACUGCAAGACAAACAAGUCAAGCAGAGACGAAAGUCGGUCAUAGUGAUCCGGUGAUUCUGUGUGGAAGGGUCAUCGCUCAAAGGAUAAAAGGUACCCCGGGGAUAACAGGCUGAUCUCCCCCAAGAGCUCACAUCGACGGGGAGGUUUGGCACCUCGAUGUCGGCUCAUCGCAUCCUGGGGCUGGAGCAGGUCCCAAGGGUAUGGCUGUUCGCCAUUUAAAGCGGUACGCGAGCUGGGUUCAGAACGUCGUGAGACAGUUCGGUCCCUAUCUGCCGUGGGCGUAGGAAAGUUGAGGAGAGCUGUCCCUAGUACGAGAGGACCGGGAUGGACACGCCACUGGUGUAUCAGUUGUUCUGCCAAGAGCAUCGCUGAGUAGCUAAGCGUGGAUGUGAUAACCGCUGAAAGCAUCUAAGCGGGAAGCCAACUCCAAGAUGAACUUUCCCUGAAGGUCGCAGCAAGACUAGCUGCUUGAUAGGGUAGAUGUGUAAGCAUAGUAAUGUGUUUAGCUGACUACUACUAAUAGACCGUUUGGCUUUUUUUC
This 3252-nucleotide ribosomal RNA is filed under the name Helicobacter muridarum. RNAcentral describes it as "bacterial LSU rRNA". It matches the Rfam family "Bacterial large subunit ribosomal RNA". Lineage: Bacteria; Pseudomonadati; Campylobacterota; Epsilonproteobacteria; Campylobacterales; Helicobacteraceae. The record is from RNAcentral.